AAAUGAAUAGACGGGGGCCCGCACAAGCGGAGGAACAUGUGGUUUAAUUCGAUGAUACGCGAGGAACCUUACCCGGGAUUGAAAUGUACCUGACAGGCUUGGAAACAGGUCCUCUAGCAAUAGCAGGUAUGUAGGUGCUGCAUGGUUGUCGUCAGCUCGUGCCGUGAGGUGUCGGCUUAAGUGCCAUAACGAGCGCAACCCUCAUUGAUAGUUACUAACAGGUAAAGCUGAGGACUCUAUUAAGACUGCCGGCGUAAGCUGUGAGGAAGGUGGGGAUGACGUCAAAUCAGCACGGCCCUUACAUCCGGGGCGACACACGUGUUACAAUGGUGGGGACAAAGGGCAGCUACCUGGCGACAGGAUGCGAAUCUCCAAACCCCAUCUCAGUUCGGAUCGGAGUCUGCAACUCGACUCCGUGAAGCUGGAUUCGCUAGUAAUCGCGCAUCAGCCAUGGCGCGGUGAAUACGUUCCCGGGCCUUGUACACACCGCCCGU
RNAcentral lists this ribosomal RNA (494 nucleotides) under uncultured bacterium. RNAcentral describes it as "bacterial SSU rRNA". It matches the Rfam family "Bacterial small subunit ribosomal RNA", at positions 903 to 1397 of the family's 1533-position model. The record is from RNAcentral.